CACAUCUAAGGGGCAUUGCAAUUCUUCCUUUGCCUAGGAAUAAGAGGAAUUGGAUAUGGUUCAAUAUAAACUAGUCAUUGGCUUGGAUAGCUUGAAAGAUACCAAGAUUUUGACUGUAACAGGUUUGUUGUAACUGAGCAUCAAGGAGGGAAAAGAUACUAGACUUAAACUUUCCAUAUGAGUUAAAUCCUAUAAGGACCUGAAUCUUAAUUUGAAUCUUAUAGACAUAGAAUGGGGGGAAAAGGGAAGAAAAGGGGGAAGGUUGGAGAGGAAGAUGGCAGGGUUUUUGUUGAGCACCUGCUCUCAAUCUGGAGAGCAGAAUUAAAGCUGUCAACAGAAGACAUCUAGAAUUGUGAUGUAGGGGAAAAAAAGGAAGAUGAGAUGAAUCAUCAUAGUUGGCAACCCAGGAUACUGAGGCAUUUAUCUGUUGGCCUGAUACUAGCAACAGAGAGGUCUGUUGUUUUCCUGGGGUGAGUUUUAAGGGUAUAAUGAGAAAACUCCUAAGAUUUGUUAAAUCUGAUGCUUUCUAACCACACCUGAUGAUCCACAUGGGAAAAAAAAAAGAUAUAUCCAGAAGAAUCCAGAAAAGAAUACUAAGGAUUAUGAAAUAAUCAGUAAGAAACUGAAUGCCAAAGUUGGGAUAUAUGCACUGUUGGUGGAGCUGUGAACUGAUCCAACCAUUCUGGAAGGACCAAAAUUAAGUACACUGGACUGGUUCCUGGGUCUUCCAUAUGUCAAAGCUGCUUGCAAAUUGGUACUGAUGGAGGGUAUCCACAGAAAGCCCUGGAUUCUUCUCUCUCUAUUGAAUGGGGGAUCUCUUCUGUCGAGACAUUCCAAUCAUAUUCAGACAGAAAUGAAGUCUCCUUCUCCAUCCCCACAAACCCUGAGUGACUACAGCCAAACAGCUUCCCGAAUAUUACCUGGCAGGAAACCAGGAUCAUGUCCCCUUCCUCAGCCUUCUUCAGCCCCUCAGACUUGGCCUGAUUGAAUCUGUUGGCCUUGGGGGCCCAAGGGACCCGGCUGUUGCGGAGCUUGGAAAGGUUGGUCUCCAUGAGGCGUCUUUGUAGGAUGUUGUGAGGUUGCUUGAGGAAGACAAAGAAGAAGCAUUUAGACAUUCGCCUGCCAACUCGUCCCACUGGUCACCUUCCUCCUCACUACCCUCAAGCCCACUGUAUUCAGGUAUUAAAGCCAAUGGCACAGGCCCAGAGUCUCAAUGAAAUCUGCAAGUUCAUAAAAAUAACUAACUAUA
Molecule: long non-coding RNA, 1249 nt
Organism: Monodelphis domestica (gray short-tailed opossum)
Lineage: Eukaryota; Metazoa; Chordata; Mammalia; Didelphimorphia; Didelphidae
Source: RefSeq, a predicted model, not a curated record